Molecule: ribosomal RNA, 773 nt
Filed under: uncultured bacterium
Lineage: Bacteria
Description: bacterial SSU rRNA
Rfam family: Bacterial small subunit ribosomal RNA
Source: RNAcentral
AGAGUUUGAUCCUGGCUCAGGACGAACGCUGGCGGCGUGCUUAACACAUGCAAGUCGAACGGAAAGGCCCUUCGGGGUACUCGAGUGGCGAACGGGUGAGUAACACGUGGGUGAUCUGCCCUGCACUUUGGGAUAAGCCUGGGAAACUGGGUCUAAUACCGAAUAUGACCACGCUCUUCAUGGGGUGUGGUGGAAAGCUUUUGCGGUGUGGGAUAGGCCCGCGGCCUAUCAGCUUGUUGGUGGGGUAAUGGCCUACCAAGGCGACGACGGGUAGCCGGCCUGAGAGGGUGACCGGCCACACUGGGACUGAGAUACGGCCCAGACUCCUACGGGAGGCAGCAGUGGGGAAUAUUGCACAAUGGGCGCAAGCCUGAUGCAGCGACGCCGCGUGAGGGAUGACGGCCUUCGGGUUGUAAACCUCUUUCACCAGGGACGAAGCGCAAGUGACGGUACCUGGAGAAGAAGCACCGGCCAACUACGUGCCAGCAGCCGCGGUAAUACGUAGGGUGCGAGCGUUGUCCGGAAUUACUGGGCGUAAAGAGCUCGUAGGUGGUUUGUCGCGUUGUUCGUGAAAACUCACAGCUUAACUGUGGGCGUGCGGGCGAUACGGGCAGACUAGAGUACUGCAGGGGAGACUGGAAUUCCUGGUGUAGCGGUGGAAUGCGCAGAUAUCAGGAGGAACACCGGUGGCGAAGGCGGGUCUCUGGGCAGUAACUGACGCUGAGGAGCGAAAGCGUGGGGAGCGAACAGGAUUAGAUACCCUGGUAGUCCAA